UGGCUCAGUCGUAGUUCAUCAUGUGUGCUGCAGUUUGUCUUUCUGAAGUGCUAAAUCUAUAAAAAGAUUAUAACGGUUCUCAACUAGUACAGCCCACACGGUAACCUCUGGAUCCGAAAAAAAAAUGCAAAUUCCUCAGUGCAGAAAAUAUCUGUUCCUCUGGAGUCUAUUUGAGGCUGUCUCACAGCUAAAACCCCUUAUAAACACUCAAAAAAGUUUCCAGUUUUCAGUGGUAUUAACAUUGAUGCUGCUUGGUUCUAAAAAUGUUGGAGUAUGUUGCUAAUUUAUUUGUACCCACUCUUAGGUUUCAAAAUUAAAAGUACAAUGUCAUUUAGCAGACGCUUUUAUCCAAAGUUACAUACAAUACAUAGAUGGAGUGAGUUUUUUUAAGUGUUAAGGUUAGGAAACGUUAAUAUUUACUUGUACUUUCCAUUUCUUGUUUGAUUAUAAGGUCAGUUAAGUAGGCAUUCAUCUUCGGCUGUACUGCUUCACCCAAUGUGACUCCUGUCCUAUACUGAGAUUCACAGCCAGUUAAACUCUUUAUAACAUCACCUCCUUCAAAGAACAGGCAAAGUUGUGUUUGGACGAGAUUUAAUGCCAAAAAUUGUGAAACUGAAACAAAGUACAGAAAGCACCGAUUAAUGACCGAUACAAACUACACAAAACAAGUUCAGGUAAAAGUCACUUUGGUGCAUUUCUCACAUCACUAUGAACAUUUGCACAAUAGUGUAUUGUAUUUCUCAAAACAAUUAGUACAAACUGUGUGUGUCUCCCUCAGAUUUCAUGCGACACCAAUCUGUUCCCCCCAAUUUCCCAGCACAAGUGAACAAACCCUGCCGGUAAAAUAGAGGAUUAAUGUCUCAGCGCUGCUCUGAAUGAAUGGGCUUUGCUGGACUCUCAGUGCGAGCUGCCUAGAGCAUGGUAAAGCCCUGUGCAGUCUGUGGAGCAUGGCAGGCUCUAACAGGAUUUACCAUGCUCUUGGCAGAUUGCACUGAGAGCCCUGCUCAGUCUGGUCUGUGUGUUUCAGUGUUGCCAGAUGGGAAAUAUAGAAUUAUCGUACCAGAGACUCAAAUUUAUUUUAUUUUGGGGAAAAUUAUCACACACCCAUUAUAAUGAAAAUAAAGCAUAGCAUUAGUUCUGGCAGGUUAUGACCAUAGACUGUAUAUAAGAUGGACGCCGUGGUUCCGCCUUCCGCCUGUAUACGGAUUUGCCACACGGCUCUCAGUAAUUCCGGGUUUUUCUCUGCUUCCUUGAAACCAGAGCUGUGCAGUAGCGUUGUGCGCAUUCGGCCGCGCAGUCGCCAAGAGUCCCUGUGAUGACGCUCGGUUCAAACAGCGUAUUCCCCCGGAAGAGCUUUGGAAUCCCUGAACGCCCAUAGGCUGUACCAGGUGUCAAUCAUAGAAGACAUGAACCCCCUAAUAACUUUUAAAAACGGAGCUGUACAGAAAUAAAAGUACUUGGGCACAAACCAGUCUUACUGUGACUAUAUGUCAACAUCACAACCAGGGGGGGAGAAAAAAUUAUGUUCUGUGUAAUAAAUUUCUAAAGUUUGUCCACAGUCCCAUAAGCUUUGCUGGCGGAGGCGGGAUUUAUGACCUGUACUGCAGCCCACCAUCAGAGGGUGCUGUUCUCGGAGUGGCUUCACCCAGCAAGGAGGCAGGCUCUGUCCAUCUUAUAUACAGUCUAUGGUUAUGACAUCAAGCACUUAUCCGCAGCCAAUGGCAAGUAGCCAUCUCAACCAACUGAUGGCCCAGCUAUUUCCUCCUAGCUCCUAUUGGUCUUGUGCCGUUAGAGCGCCCUAUUUAAAACUGCCCGAACCCAACCUUUCCGUCUGCUUUGAAAGCCAACUAGCAAAGCUGCAACCGCUCUGCCAGCUCUCACCCAUGAGAACACUCAGAUCAGUGUUUUUCUUAUUCCUGCCUUGCUCCUCAUCACGUUGUUUCCUGGCAACAACGAGGAUUCAUGGCAGAUCGACCACUUUUCUGAAACGCAACAUCAGCAAUGCAACACUGAGGAAGCCAAUCCUCACAACUACAGCUGUGUUCGCGUCCGUGGGAGCUCUCAUCUGGCAAGUUAAAAUUCUAUUUCUCCUAGCUUCAUGUAUGGCCGGUGUCCAGGCUCCUGGAAGUCCUUUAAAAAUAACAUCACAGCUCCAGAUGGUGCCUCACAUCAAGAGCUUCCCACCUUGUCUAUGGAAAAUUUCCACAUAGAGCCUCCACCUGCAGCUCUCUCUUCCUCCUCUGUCUCCAGAAAAGCGACAGAGAAAAAAACCCUGAGCUCCUGCAGCGUCACAGCAGUUCCAGCUUCAGCCGCCGCAUCAGUGCUGCCGCCCUCAGAGCGCGAGGCCCAACCCCAGCUACCAGACAUGUAAAUACUCGAAUUUUAAUCUGAAAUCCCUGUGAAGUUGGAUCUCCAACUCAAAAAUUUAAAUUAAUCUCACCAACCUGACAUAGAAUCCAUGCUAUCUGCUACUUACAUAAGUACUAGUUACAUGUUUUGUUGUACAACUGUCAGGCUGGGAUGCACUGGGAGCACAUAGCUUUAGUGGUGCAAAGGUAAAGGCAAAGCUGAAUGCUAGAAGGUAGAGAUAUAAACCCUUCCAUCAAUCAUCAUUGUAAAUGUCAAAACUCUGCCCAACAAAAGCAAUGAGCUGGAAGAAUUGGUGAAUUGGUGAGUGCAGUCUCUUGUGUUUCACUAAAACCUGGCUGAAUAAAAAAAAUCAGGCUCCAGUGUGGAUCUAUCUCCCAGAUGUUCUAUCUAGUUGCAGGAAGAGAGGAGGAGGUCUGGCUUAAUUUGUCAACCAGAGAUGGUGUAACCCAUCAGGCAUUACUGUCAAGGAAAAGUUGCGUUGUAAAAAUACUGAACUGUUGGCAGUUGCUCUUCUGCCAUAUUAUGUUCCAAGAGAAUUCAGUCAUAUUUCAACAAUAGUUUUUUACAUCCCACCGAAAUCAACUGCAGAAAUUCUGCAGGGACUAAUGGUGCAUUCCAGUUGUUCUCAGAGGUAGGAAUAUACAAGCUCCAAUUCUGAAGUUUCAACGGAUGUCGAGGUUGGAUUUCCGACUUGGAAAGUCAGACAAUCAACACAGACCCUGAGCUGGUGUUUAAAGAUGGUGGCGCCUGUUGUAAACUGUAAGUUAAAGCUCUAUUAUAAUCCUUUUAUUAACACUUUUCACUUUUUAUUGUUGCAAUAAGUCAGCCUGAGGCUCAGGCUACAAAAGUAUUAUUAGAUGUAUAUAUUUUGAGAUGCUGUCAUAACAUCUUUUAUGUGUAUAUGCGAACUAAAAAGCCGUCCGUGCUAAGAGUGGCUAACAACAGCUAACCGUAGCCUGGUAAUUUCAGCUGUUGUUUUUUAUGUUUUUUCAGUGACCUGUUUAUGCAGAGAAGGGUUAUAAAUAGUAGCCUACAAUUUGGUGAGUGACCUCUGGAUGAUGGAUGCACAAAUUAUUAAUUUUUAAAAUGUUUUCUUGAACAGACCGUUUAAAUGGUUAUCAGUUAAUGAGGUUAGUUGAAUGUUAGUUGUACUUCAAAGUAGCAUUCAGCCAAGUGCCUAGCUAAAGAGAGAGGCGCAGCAUAGCUACUUUGAGCCCGGUCAGCUGAAGGUUAUUUACGAGUGAGCCAGCUGGGAAGCAAGCACAGUGCAUACUUGUUUUGUUUUUUGUUUUUUUUUCUUCCUGUUUUUUUUUUUCUUGGCACCAUCCUGACAGGUGAAAGACAUCUACUCUGCAAGUAACAAAAAAGUUUUGUUGCAAAAUAUUUUUCAUAUUCAAAAAUUCAUAAGGCUCUGAUGUAAACCUUUUUUUUUUCUUUUUUUUCCCCAGUGUAUUUGGACAACAAUGCUGUUCUAUUCGUGGACCCAGAGAGGAGGACACCUUUUCAUGGACCUCUGUUUCAAAAAACGCAUGAUCUUACAAUGUAGUACGUCGACAGGGCCUGUACCACUAUGGCAAACCUGGUUAACCCUGAGGAUAGUCACACCACAGCAGUUUAAAUAUAAUAACAAAUAUGAUAAUGGUGAUAAUAAUAACAAAAGUUAUGUCAAUGAUCUAUGAUGUCUAUGAUGUUGCCCCCCUCAGCCCAUCACCACCUCCUGCCCUGUCCUGCCUGCCAAUGAAAGCUUCAUUAGGAACCAAACGAUGUUCCUUAUUGAUUUGAUGCACAAACAUCUGGCAGCAGAAGCCGAUGGCCUCCCGAAGAAUCUAAAAGAGCGGAAUUCUCGGUUGAAAUCUGCAAGAUCUAAUAAAGAAGAACCUGUGAAAGGAGACGGCAGAGGUCUGCAGUUUUCAGAAUAAUUUUGUCCUGAUAAAGUGGCCAGGAAGUGGGACACAUUAGUUGAUGCUUACAAAAAUAUAAAGGACAACAACAAAACAACAGGAAAAGGAGCCAUCUGCUUUUACUUUUUUAGAGAGAUGAAUGAACUUCUAGCAGGGAAGCAUGACGUGGUCUUCCCUGUGGUUGGCACAUCAGUGAGGCUUGAUACAAGGCGACCAGAGGUGCUUGGACCUUCAGCUGUCACGGCUUUCACGGCUGUCACGGCACCUCCAGCAGAGGCUGCUUCAUGCUCCAGCACCCACACAGCACUGACAUACACACACGGCCUGUUAAGCAUUGGCGGGAACAAAAGGACAACCUCCAGUUCUUCCGGGAGUCAGAGGAAGCCAGUCAGAGGUGUCAUGAGGAGGCACAGAGGUGCCACAAAGACUUACUGGCUCAGCUUAGGUCAGCCCAGGGUUUGAGGGCCUGAUGUCUCGAUUGUUAGACAAACUGUGAUUCUGUUAUUCUUGUUUGCAUUGCUGUUAUUGUUAAAACUUUUGUUGUACAGUUUACUUAUAAGCAUUUGCACUAUAUUUAUUACACAUUUUACAUUGGGGAAACUUAAAGUUUUUGCACAAUUUCGAUCUUUGCUAAUGAACUAUUUUUUCUUGAACCAAAAGGGAACAUCUUGAAUAUUUUAUCAAUAUAUGUUGUCAAUCAAUCAAUCAAUCAACUUUAUUUCUAUAGCACAUUUAAAAGAACCACAAGGGUAGACAAAGUGCUGUACAAUGACACAUAAAAAAAAAUAAAACAAUCAAAGAACAAGAUAAAGCGAGCAGAAAUACAUUAAUGCAAAAGAAUAAUUAAGUAUAUAAAUAAGCAGGCUCACGGCAAGUGCUAAGAUUAAGAUCAAACGCUUGGUCCCCUCUGAGCCUCAGCCUUGUAUUGGGGACCGUCAGUUGAUCAGCUGAUCUUAGGGGUCGGGGUGGGCAAUAAGGCUGGAGCAUCUCAGAAAUGUAAGGUGGAGCAAGAUUGUUCAGGCCCUUAAAAACAAAUAUUAAAAGCUUAAAAUGAAUCCUGUUCUGUACAGGGAGCCAGUGUCAGGAGACGUGCAGCAGAGUUCUGCACAAGCUGCAUGCGGGCAAGGGAAGCCUGGCUAAUCCCUACGUACAAAAAGUUGCAGUAGUCAAGACGGGUAGUAAUAAAAGAAUGGACUAUUUUUUCCAGGUCAGAUCUUGAUAAAAUGGGCUUCACCUUCGCUAUUUGACGUAGCUGGUAAAAACCUUUUUGUACCACUCCGCUGACCUGUUAAGUUAACUACCAGAUUAGUGACGACAUCCUUCAGAUGGGGAGUAGAUAAAAGAGGGCUGUGGAUUGAGCCCUGGGGGACCCCAUGUGGAAGAGGAGCUGUUGACGACACAGAGUUGUCAAGUUGAACGCAGAAAUUUCUGUCUGUUAAGUAAGACCAGAACCAGUCCAGGGUGACACCCUCAAUGCCCAAACAGUGCUCCAGGCAAGAGAUUAAAAUGCUGUGGUCAACUGUGUCAAAUGCAGCAGACAGAUCUAGGAGCACAAGGACAACAAACUUUCCAGAGUCUGUUGACAUAAGAAUAUCAUUAGACACCUUUAAAAGUGCUGACUCUGCUGUGGAGAGCUUUAAAACAAGACUGGACCAACUCUGUGAUACCAUUAUCUUCCAAAAAUGGUAACAACUGAUUGUAGACAACCUUCUUUAAAAUCUUGGACAGAUAUGGAAGAUUUGAGAUGGGCCUGAAACUGGCACAGAGGGAUGGGUCAAGGCCAUUUUUUUAAAUAGAGGUCGUACUAGGGCAUGUUUAAAAUCCCUAGAUACUGUACCAGAGGAGAGGCUACUAUUUACAGUAUUAAGGACACUUGGUCCAAUAGUAGUAAGUACUUCUGUAAAAAGCGCGAGGGGGGGAGGCAUCUGCAGGGGAACCAGAGGGCUUCAUAUGGCUGACUAUGUCCUUUAAAAUAGAGAGGGACACAGACUCAAAUUUAGCAAAGACAGAUGAGGGGUGCAGAGGGGCUGAAGGGUCAUAUGAAGGCUGAGAGAUACAGGCUCUGGUUGACAUAAUUUUUUCAGAGAAAAAGUGGGGGAAUUUUUCACAAAUUUCAGUGGAGGCAUCAAAACCAAGAGACUUGGGAGCCUCAAGGACAGUGUUUAUGGUUUUGAACAGAGUCUUGGGAUUGUUACAGUUAAAGGCAAUUAAUUCUGAGAAAUAUUUGUUCUUCUCAGCUUUCACAGUCUUCUGAUACUUCCACAGACUUUAAAGAUGCCAAGAGACACAUGCAGUCUGUCCUUUUUACACCUGCGCUCCGCCCUCCUGCACUCUCGCCUGGCUGCACGAGUGACGUCGCUCAACCAGGGCUCGGGUGUAUGUUUGGUGCGCCGGCUCUUCAGAGGAGCGAUCGUGUCCAGUGUUUGUAGACAGGUGGAGUGAAAUCUCAAUACCAGUUGCUCAGUAUCCACACACACAGAGGCUGCAGAGUCAUCCUCGCAGAGACCAAUGAAGGUAGAGGAGAACAGAGCAGGCGAGGAGAGUUAAACAUGCAACGCUGUUGAGGAGGAGCGCACAAUUUAACCGGACACUGAGUGGGGAUGUCAAAUAAAAUUGGCAUAUGAUCCGAGAAAACAGCGUCACAAAUGUCAAGAUUGGAGACACACAGACUGUGCGAGAGCAGUAAGUCUAGUGUGUGCCCAAGAUUAUGUGUAGAACCGGACACAGACUGCACGAAGUUAAAAGAGUCAGUGAGAUUUAAAAGCUCCUGGAGACCAGCUUUUCAGGGCAACAAGUGUGAAUAGCAAAAUCGCCAACAAUAAGGACACGGUCGUAUUUCGGCAGAAUUUCGGCCAGAAAUUCAGAAAAGUCACUUACUCCUUAUUGAACUUGGGUGGUCGAUAGAUGAUGGCGCACAGGACAACAUAAGAGCAGCCUAGUUCAAACAAGCACAGUUCAAAACUUGUAAAGGAGAAUUGCAGACAGAUCUGCUGGCAUUUAAAGUCGCUUAAAAAUAACUGCUUUUCCACCUCCUUUUCGACCAGAUGACCGCGGGGAAUUAAAAUAGCAGCAAUCCGGCGGACAGAGUUCAUUAAGAGGGCUGGACUCACCGGUACUCAGCCAUGUCUCCGUCACACAGAGAAAAUCCAAUCCACACAACAUGAAGAAAUCCUUCAAGAUAAAAGUUUUGUUUGCCAGUGAUCUAGCAUUAACAAGGCCGAACCUGGCAGAGAUCGGCACAUCCAAGGCAUCGGCUGAUUGUGGAGCCCGACACAGGGCCCGUAGAUGGCGGGGAUCUACCCUACGCCGGCGGGGACGAGGAGAGCAGGGGCCGCAGGGACAGAUUACCUCAUCUGAACCGUCGACAGGUACCAGCCAGGAGUCGACAGGGUCCAGCGAUCACAGAUGAAGAAAGAGACCAGAUCCCACUCCAUUUCUCCUCAAGGAAUCCGCGGAAGAUCGAGCCAAAAGAGUUCUAACUUUCACCAGCUGGCCGCUGCAUUUGCCAUGGUAGCGCCAGCGUUUACGCCGGGGAAGUGGAGCGAGGGUGCAGCGAAGGUGAGCAGGUAUCCUGGAGAGGUGAAACGGCUUAAACGUGGUACAACCAUAGUGAUCAGGAUCUAGUUUCACCAAAUCCUUGGCAGAGGGGUGAAGAUCCAGCCGUGUUUGGCGGUCAUACACAAGCAGUGAGCUGACAUAACUGAUAACAAUAGACAUAAACAGCACAAACACAAACAGCGCUGACAGCGAGAGACGGCAGGCUUAUUUGCAUUAUUUUUAUUUGCACUAUUUUGUACCUAAUUGUUUUUUCUUGAAUCAAAAAGGAACAUUUUGGAUAAUUAAUUAAAUUUGUAAUCUUUAUUGAAUAUUGCAAUAAAUGUAAUCAAUAGUUUUACACUUCUGACUGGCAUGUUGUUGAUAUUAUUGUAAAUAAUACUGAUAAGCAAUGAUUAUAAUUACAAGGAAAGAACAGUCAAUUGUGGAAAACAUUUAUUUGCAGGACAGACAGUUUAAAAGACAUCUAAAAACAUUUAUGAUAACAGUGUAUUAUUGGUAUCUAUUUACAAUAUUUACAAUUUAAGGAUGGGUUGGAUAACUUUAUGGCCUGGCCUCAUGACAUUUGCAGUGUCACUCAUUUUCAUCUGAAAAAAAAGGAAUGUGUAUGCUAUCACAUACGUAUUUUUAUUAUUAUAUACAUAUGUUAAUCAGCAUUUACUGAAAAUCACUUGGUGUGAAUGCUUGCCAGAAUUGUAUCUGUUUCUUUUUAAUGAGCAUGGGAAAGGAGAAGUAUGGCCUUGGAGUUGGGACUGAUACUUUUCCGCUGAAGUCAUGCAACUAGAUAAACGCUACAAUUUCACUCACAGGUUGUUUUCUCAGCAGUAUGACAUUAACCUGAUAAGCAGGAACCUGAUGAUGAACUAAGCUGUCUUUGUCUUCCCAGUACAGACCACAGCUGCAACUUGUACCCUACUUGGAUACUGUUGUAAUGUCAUGCCAUUACAACAGUGGCGGGGGUGUCUGUUUCUUGGCUGCAUGAAGGAUAUGUAAAAAUCUGAAUUCCUCAGUCAGAACCUGCCUUUGUUGUCAGCUGCUGACAGUUGCAAGUAAAAGAUAGUAAAGAAGACCACUAUCUUUAAUGUUUUUCUCAUCCACAAUUCCCUGAAGGAGGACAGUAUAAAAAGACUUUCGAUUCAUGUAGUCUCCUCCUCGUAUUGGUGGCCUUUGCAUCCGGAUGUGGCAUCCAUCAAUAGCACUGAUGACACCACUGAGACCACAGAGGCAGUGGAAAGCAGCAGCAGAUGCUGCUUUCUCACAGGUAUUUGGCCAGGAUAUAAAUAAUAAUCCUAUUGUGCACAUGAUGUUGAGCGCUUGUAGGGUGAUCCCGUUUGCUGUGGACUGUGACACAUCAAACACAGCAGACAUCUCAUGGAAGCUGUUUUGGUUGGCCAUGUACCACAGAAACAUCAGCACCUUCGUUGUUGCAUGAACUAGCGGUAGACCUUGACAUUGUUGUUGUUCAAUACCAUUGUCCUGAAGCUUCAUCAUCAGAUAUUCAAACUGGGGCUUGGUGACACGAAAAUGACGUGAAAAGGUGUGAUCAUCCAUGUUCAGCAUCAUCUCCCACUCUGUUCCAGUCUUCAAAAUAAUUUGCUGUGUAGGCUGCAGCACAGCCAAUAUUCUAGGUGAGAGACAAAACAUGUUUCAGUAAAGACAAUGACACAUUUUACAGUCCUUAUAGCAUCACUGUAUCAUUACGAUAUUACUAAUAUGAGCAGCUUUUACUUCCUUUUAUCAGUGGAGUGAAUUUACCUUGUAUUUUUAAAAAAAUCUUUAACACAAUCAAUCAAUCGUUAUUGAUUGAUUCUUUAUUGAUCCGUUAUUGAUUCAUAUUUCGAAUGAUGCGCUUGAACUGAGAGGUUGCUGCAAGUCUGGUCUCUCUGUAUUAUCUGUAAUUUUUGUAAUUUUGGUAGAUUUUGUAAUAUUUUUGUUGGCUGCUGAUGGAUAUUUCUGCUGGGCGAAGAGUUUACUCAAGAAAAGAGCUCCUUUCAUUGAGGAAAAGCAAAUCUGGACAACAACAUACAAUUCCAGAGGACAUCAGGAGGUGUUAUCGUGGUUCAUGUGCUGCUGCAAAGGUAAAGGCAAAGCUGAAUGCUAGGAGGUGGUGAUAUAAACCAUUUCUUCCAUCAAUUAUCAUGGGAUACGUCAACUCUCUGCCCAACAAAAGCAAUGAGCUGGAAAUAUUGGUGAUGACUGAGAAAGCAUACCGUGAGUGCAAUUUCCUGUGUUUUACUGAAACCUGGUUGAAUCAAAACAACUCUGAUCUACCUGGCUUCACUCUCAUAAGGUCAGAUGGAGAUGCUCAAGCUAGUAGCAAGAAGAAAGGUGGAACUCUGGCUUUAUUUGUCAACCAGAGAUGGUGUAAUCCUUCACACGUAACUGUCAAGGAGAAGUUAUGUUGUCCAGAUAUUGAACUGUUGGCAGUUGCUCUACGGCCAAUAGUUGUUUACAUUCCACCCAAAUCAACUGAGGAAAUUCCAUGCAAUGUUUUGCAUAAUAGUGUUGCUAGGCUACAGACUCAACACCCUGAUGCACUAAUAAUAUCUGAAGACUUCAACCAUGUCACCCUCUCCUCUCACCAGACUGGAUUCACACAGUUUGUGAACGGUCCUACCAGAGAAAACAAAACCCUGGAUCUGCUGUAUGGCAAUGUCAAAGAUGUCUACAGAGCCACUGCCUUACCACCACUGGGCAAGUCAGAUUGUAGAAAACCACUUUUUGGUUUUAUGUAUUGCUGUUUAACAUUUUGGCCACAAGAGGGCAGCAUUGUACUGUUAAAAUGGUUAAAUAGGUUAAAAUCUUAAAAACAAACAGUUAAGCUACUUGCAAUGCAUUUUUUAAAUGAUUCGAGUGUAUAAAAAUAUAGCUCAUGAUUUAAGUUUGUUAUAAGAAAAUGUAAUUUAUGUGUUUUAUAUGUAUAUUGCUCAUUUUGGAGCUUGGUUAUUAUGGUUAUUAUGAGCUUUUAUUUUGAAGAGAUUGCUAACCAACUUGUCACUUCCUCCUGGCUUUAUGUGUGGGUAAAAAGAAACAAAAGGACGUUCACGGUAUGAGUGAGCUAACAUAAUGGUGAAAGUAAAAGAGUUUAAGGUAAAGGAAAAUAAAGUAAUAAAUCUACGGUAAUUAAAGAGUGAGACAAUGAUGACGGAAUAGCUACCUCCCAAGGAGGCACAAGGUUAGUGAGCGAGUGUGUAUGUUAUGGUUUACGUUACUGUGCUAAAGCUAAGCUAAUUCUCUUUCACCUGCGGUGAAGCUACUGGGUAAUGGUGCAUAGUGUAAAAAGAAAUGUAAUUUAAUUUUUUGUGUUUUUGUUAGUUCUCACAGUGAAUUUCAUAGAGCUGAUUUAUGGAGAUUUAUGAAAAUAAAGACAAUUUUAAGAAAUCAUCAGUCGAGUCCACCAUCUGUUGGAUGGUACCCUGCAGUGAGAACUUACCCCAGCGAGGCUCCAGUGACUACUUUACCACAUGCAUCGCCACUUCAUCUGUGAACUCCAUGGUCAAGCAGCACAACACGGAGCUACACUCAAGGAGCGGUAAAGACUACCAAUACAGUAAAAAUGGAUGCCUUAAAGGAACAGAUAAAUAAACUACAAGCAGAAAUUGAAGAAAAUAGAGGAUUGCUAAAUCAAAGGGAUGAAGAAGGCUUGUCAUGGCCGGAAUUAAAGGAGCUAACUGAAACCAAAAAUUAACAACUAGUUGAGCUGCAACAUGAAAUGAAUGACACUGAUGAAAUAAAAAUACCACGUCAUUCAGAAUGCAAAGAUGUAUCCACAGAGAAGUUUCUUGCCUAUCAAAGGGAGGAACAAAGUAAAAAGAAAAGGAGACUGCUUAGUCUUUAUGAACAAUGGAAAAUUCAAAUCAGAUCAACCAAAGAAAAUCUAAAGCAAAACACAAUAGAUAUGGAACUGGCUAAAAUGGCAGACACUGUUGAAAACGGAAAGGAUGACAUCAUGAAAAUUUACAACGAAGUAAGACAGGAUGCCACUCCAUGUGCUGAUUUAAGACGCAAAAUAGAUGCUUGUGAGGCAGUCACCAAUGACAUUAUGAAAAUAAUAAAUGAACGUUUAUCAGGAAUAGACGAUGUCUUUGAUGCAGAGCGUGAAAAGCGCAAACUCUGUGAGUUUCAUGCUCAUAACUACGCUCAUUCCAUAUAUGGGACUGCUUCUCAGUCAGCUAAUAGUCACUUCUCAGAAGCAUCAGUCAUGGCUGCAAAAAGAGCGGAAACAGUUGCAGAGCUUGUGGCAAAUGAGGCUCAAUGUAAACCAAUGGAAGAAGAAAGAAAGCAGAAAGAAAAAAUAAGGAUGAUGGAGUCUGAAUUAGAGCGUUUGCAAGCAGAAAGGGACAGAGAAGUAGCACGUGUCAGACUGGAAAGCCAAGACAGAGAAAUCAGACAAGAAACUGACAGUCAGUCGUUACAGCAAAUGAACAGUCUGCCUACACAGCAACAAGACAGCAGAUACAACAGGCAGAGCCCGCCAUCCCCUUUGUGUAUCACCCGAACCCUUCCAUAGUCCCACCAAAUCCCUCCACUGACAUCUCCUCUCUAGCCCAAGUGAUUCAAGACAGCAUAACCAUUAAUAGACUCCCCAUGCCAAUGCCCACAGUGUUUGGAGGAGACCCCAUCCACUUCAUUGAAUGGAGAGCUUCAGUCAUGUCACUGAUAGAUAAGAAGGGCAUCUCAUUAGCCGACAAACUUUAUUAUCUGAAGAAAUAUGUCAGUGGCCCUGCUCACAAAUGUAUUAAAGGCACCUAUUAUUGAGACUAUGGUGAAGCAUACAGAGAUGCAUGGAAUAAGCUCAACCAACGCUACGGGCAGCCGUUUGUCAUUCAAAGAGCCUUCAGGGACAAGCUGUCAAAAUGGCCGAAAGUGCAAACCAAAGAUGCUGAAGGAUUAAGAACCUUCUCUGAUUUCUCAAAUGCCUAUCUCCAAGCCAUGCCUCAUGUGAAAGUGACUGUGUAAAGAAUCAAAAGCUGACACAGAAAGUUCCAGACUGGCUAGCAGCACGCUGGAACCGUCAAGUCUCAAUAGCUCUCAUGGGAGGUAGAGACUUCCCUACUUUUGAAGAUUUUGCCAACUUUGUGUCAGUAGAAGCGGAGAUAGCAUGUAAUCCAAUCACUUCCUUGCAUGCGCUGCACUCAUCUAGCUCAUCCUACAUCAAAAGAAGCACAAAUGAAACAAAGGGAAACAAAGUAAGUGUGUUCAGCACUCAAACAAAUGCAAACACUGAAAAAAUGAAAGCAAACUAUGGAAAAGAAUGGUCUCCCUGCAUAUGGUGCAAGGAUGACAAGCAUCAACUUUCAAAGUGCUCAAUGUUCAAAGAAAAUUCCCUCGAAGAACGACGAACAUUCAUAAAAGACAAUAAACUGUGUUAUGGAUGUGUCAAGCCAGGUCACAGUGCUAAGGAAUGUCGUCCCUGUCACACUUAUGAUCUGUGCAAGGGAAGGCAUCCCACCUGUCUACAUGAUGAACGUUAAAAAGGGUAUGAGGAGAAAGACAGACCUGUAAACAGUCAAAGAAGGAAAUCUAGAGUAAAUGUGAUCACAGCUACAAAUGAAAUUGUGACAGCAAGCCCACUCUGUGUCACUAAAGAGAGUAAGCAAUGAGUUACAACCAAACACUUUCCCUGUACAACUGAAACUCCCUACUAUGUUGGGAGAGAGCAUGAUAAUGAAAAGUGAAAGAGUGGAGGGACUCCGUGUCAGAGGCUACAAUUCAGGCAUUUACAUUGAUCUCCCCCCUUCAUACACCAAAGACUGUAUCCCCAUGAACCGUGACAACAUACCUACCCAUCAAACAGUGAAACAAUGGCCUCAUCUAGCUGCAAUCACAGAUCAGAUACCACCUUUCCUCAGCUGUGAUGUGGGAGUCCUCAUUGGGUAUAACUGUCCGGGAGCAAUAAAACCCAGACAAAUGAUUGAUGGAGCAGACAAUGAGCCCUACGCCGUCCUCACAGACUUGGGGUGGAGCAUUGUGGGCUGCUCUACACCUGGCUUUGAUAAAGGACACUCCGGCUUGUGUCACAGAGUCAUGCUAAAGGAACUUUCUCCAGUAACGCUGAUGGAUGUGAUAAGCGUUCUGGAGUCAGACUUCAAAGACACAAAAGGAGAUGACAAAACUGUCUUACAAGAGGACCUCAUGUUCUUGAGCAAACUCAAAGAUAGUAUAAAGAAAAAUGCCCAGGGACAUACGAGAUGCCUCUUCCAUUCAAACAACAGCCCUCUCUACCUAGCAACAAAAGGCUCGCUGAAAUCAGGCUUGAUCAUCUACAGCGUAAGUUCAGCAGGGAUGAAAAUUAUGAAAGAGACUACACAACAUACAUGAAGGAGAUCAAAUAGAGAGGUGAUGUGGAGGAGGUGCAGACAGAUGGAGUUUAAGGGGAGCGAUGGUAUAUUCCACCUCAUGGCAUAUAUCA
Molecule: long non-coding RNA, 14238 nt
Filed under: Xyrichtys novacula (pearly razorfish)
Lineage: Eukaryota; Metazoa; Chordata; Actinopteri; Labriformes; Labridae
Source: RNAcentral